GAACUGUAAAAAGGGAGAAGGAAUGAAGACAUGAAAAUAGAGGACAUGAGUCUCAACAAUGGAUUUUUAUAUUUACAAGGAUUCACCUGCUGAUUGUGCCAUGACUCUGCCAGUCUUGGGCAUGAAAGCCUACUGCCAUCUCCUGCCCAGAGACAUCAGAAGAUGCAACUACUGGGGCCGGCAUUGUGGCAUAGAGGGUAAAGCCACCUCCUGUAAUACCAGCAUUCCAUACGGGUACCAGUUUGAGUCCCAGCUGCUACACUGCCUGCUAAUGCUUGGGAAAAGCAGAGGAAGAUGGCCCAAAUGUUUGGGCCCCUGCCACCGACAUGGGAAAUCCAGAUGAAGCUCCUGGCUCCUGGCUUUGGCCUGGUCCAUCCCUGGCUGUUGUGGCUAUCUGAAGAAUGAACCAGUAGAUGGACAAUCUCCCUCUCUCCCUAUUACUCUCUUUCUCCCCCUCCCUCUUCCCAUCUCCGUCUCCCUCUCUCUCCCUCUAUCUGGAUAACUCUGACUUUCAAAUAAAUACAGAAAACUUUAUAUGCA
Molecule: long non-coding RNA, 540 nt
Filed under: Oryctolagus cuniculus (rabbit)
Lineage: Eukaryota; Metazoa; Chordata; Mammalia; Lagomorpha; Leporidae
Description: lncRNA (ENSOCUG00000036318.1)
Source: RNAcentral